AAAAAACAACGAACAAACACAGUGAAACUCCUGCCUGUCUGAGGUAUAAAGACUUACAACAGAGACAGUGCAGAAGACCUUCUGGACCUCAGGUCUGAUACCAUCUUGAGAAAGCAACACAGAACUUCACAGAGGUUGUAUAUAAAGACCAAGCUGCUCAGUGAGAUAGAUGAACGGUUUGAUCCAGAGGUUCUGCAGCCCACAAGCCACUUGAAAACAGUGUUUUGUCUGCAUAAAGUCCUAUUAAUUCAUCCACUUUUGACAGAAUUUAUCACCUGUGUAUGUUGUAGCAGAUACAGAUCUUUUCCAGUUUUACUGGUCCCAGUAUGAAUAACUGGGCACAAAGGGCUGGAAGUUGUCAGCCAAUUAGAAGAUGGAGCAGUCUGUCUUGACAAGUUUUUACUAAGCUCUCUGGCUUUAGUCCAGAAAAUCUUGCAUACCAGACUCCAACUGCUUCUCCUGAAUUCUGUCUCAUUCCAAUGGUAGAUCUGCUCCCAGAGUACAAUACCUAGAUCAGGAAUUCUGUGAUUUAUCCAUUAAUUUUUCAGAUCAAGAAAUCCUACCAGUUGAAACUAGACCAUUAGAAGCCUGUUAGUCUGUCCUGGAAAGUAAGUUAUUUCCUUCAGUGGCAAACAUGGAAUAGAAGAUGAUUACCCUUGUGCCAUCCAGAUUUAAAUCAAAAGAUAGAUUUGGAGGUCUGAACAUAUGAAAAGAGAUGUUGAUGGAGCAAUCAUUCUGUUACAUCUACAGAGCUAAAAAUCCUGUGACUGAAGUAUUCAGUACAAGAAUGAGAAAAGAAGAGGCAAUGAGAAACACCACAUAGGCUGGAUUGCAACAAGCUGCUGGGUCAGACCGAACUUUGUGAAAUCUGAGGACUGAGUACUGUUCACACAGCCAGGAGGAUGUAAAGAGCAAACCAACAUGAAUGAAACAUGGUUAACUUCUGCAAAGAUUCACCACUAUCAGUCUUCUGAAUUGCCAGCGCUGCCAAAAAUUAUCAGUUCUCUUCUGGAGUCCAUACGCUUGUGAAGAGAUGUACCCUAUCAUUACUGUGGGUGUGUUCAGGCUGAGAAAACAGCUGAAAAGUGGUGCUUUGAUUCCAUUGUUCAAAAUGAAGCAACUUUGGAAUCAAACUGCCUCCAAAUUUUAACAGUGAAAGUCAGGUGUUCCCUUCCCACUCAAAUGUGAAUUCAGCAAAAAUGUUGAUCUUUUUCUUAUAUACAAUUUUGUGUUAUGGCAGGUAUUUCUAGCUACGUCUGUUGAACAAACAGUGUAGAUUUCAACAUGCAAUGUCUACAUUGCCAUAGACACUACUCUUUUUACCCCAACA
This 1330-nucleotide long non-coding RNA is filed under the name Anser cygnoides (Swan goose). RNAcentral's name for it is "lncRNA (ENSACDG00005005511.1)". Lineage: Eukaryota; Metazoa; Chordata; Aves; Anseriformes; Anatidae. The record is from RNAcentral.